This 521-nucleotide ribosomal RNA is filed under the name uncultured bacterium. RNAcentral's name for it is "bacterial SSU rRNA". It matches the Rfam family "Bacterial small subunit ribosomal RNA", at positions 777 to 1304 of the family's 1533-position model. The record is from RNAcentral.
AAUAGAUACCCGGGUAGUCCACGCCGUAAACGAUGGAUACUAGCUGUUUGAGCGCAAGUUUGAGUGGCUAAGCGAAAGUAAUAAGUAUCCCACCUGGGGAGUACGGGCGCAAGCCUGAAACUCAAAGGAAUUGACGGGGGCCCGCACAAGCGGUGGAGCAUGUGGUUUAAUUCGAUGAUACGCGAGGAACCUUACCAGGGCUUAAAUGUAGAUUGACGUAUUUGGAAACAGAUAUUUCUUCGGACAAUUUACAAGGUGCUGCAUGGUUGUCGUCAGCUCGUGCCGUGAGGUGUCAGGUUAAGUCCUAUAACGAGCGCAACCCCUGUUGUUAGUUGCCAGCGAGUAAUGUCGGGAACUCUAGCAAGACCGCCAGUGUAAACUGUGAGGAAGGUGGGGAUGACGUCAAAUCAUCACGGCCCUUACGUCCUGGGCCACACACGUGCUACAAUGGCCGGUACAGAGAGCAGCCACUUAGCGAUAAGGAGCGAAUCUAUAAAGCCGGUCACAGUUCGGAUCGGAGU